GCGGACAGAUGGGAGCUUGCUCCCUGAUGUCAGCGGCGGACGGGUGAGUAACACGUGGGUAACCUGCCUGUAAGACUGGGAUAACUCCGGGAAACCGGGGCUAAUACCGGAUGCUUGAUUGAACCGCAUGGUUCAAUUAUAAAAGGUGGCUUCUGCUACCACUUACCGAUGGACCCCCGGCGCAAUAGCUAGUUGGUGAGGUAACGGCUCACCAAGGCCACCAUUCGUAACCCAACUGAAAGGGUGAUCGGCCACACUGGGACUGAAACACGGCCCAAACUCCUACCGGAGGCAGCAAUAGGGAAUCUUCCGCAAUGGACGAAAGUCUGACGGAACAACGCCCCGUGAGUGAUGAAGGUUUUCGGAUCGGAAAACUCUUUUGUUAGGGAAAAACCAGUACCGUUCGAAUAGGGGGGUACCUUGACGGUUCCUAACCAGAAAGGCCCGGCUAACUACCUGCCCGCCGCCGCGGUAAUACUUAAGUUGCAAGGGUGUGUCCGGAAUUAUUGGGCGUAAAGCGCGCGCAGGCGGUUUCUUAAGUCUGAUGUGAAAGCCCCCGGCUCAACCGGGGAGGGUCAUUGGAAACUGGGGAACUUGAGUGCAGAAGAGGAGAGUGGAAUUCCACGUGUAGCGGUGAAAUGCGUAGAGAUGUGGAGGAACACCAGUGGCGAAGCCGACUCUCUGGUCUGUAACUGACGCUGAGGCGCGAAAGCGUGGGGAGCGAACAGGAUUAGAUACCCUGGUAGUCCACGCCGUAAACGAUGAGUGCUAAGUGUUAGAGGGUUUCCGCCCUUUAGUGCUGCAGCAAACGCAUUAAGCACUCCGCCUGGGGAGUACGGUCGCAAGACUGAAACUCAAAGGAAUUGACGGGGGCCCGCACAAGCGGUGGAGCAUGUGGUUUAAUUCGAAGCAACGCGAAGAACCUUACCAGGUCUUGACAUCCUCUGACAACCCUAGAGAUAGGGCUUCCCCUUCGGGGGCAGAGUGACA
RNAcentral lists this ribosomal RNA (990 nucleotides) under Bacillus licheniformis. Its description in RNAcentral is "bacterial SSU rRNA". It matches the Rfam family "Bacterial small subunit ribosomal RNA", at positions 66 to 1036 of the family's 1533-position model. Lineage: Bacteria; Bacillati; Bacillota; Bacilli; Caryophanales; Bacillaceae. The record is from RNAcentral.